AGGAUCAACGCUGGCGGCGUGCCUAAUGCAUGCAAGUCGAACGGGGUUCCCUGCGGGGGCUCACGUGGCGGACGGGUGAGGAACACGUGGCCAAUCUGCCCAGAGGCAGGGGUAGCCCGCGGAAACGCGGGUAAUUCCGUAUGCGCUGUGGUCCCGAGUGGGGAUCGUAGCAAAGGCGCAAGCCGCCUCUGGAGGAGGCUGCGGCCGAUUAGCUUGUUGGUGGGUAAUGGCCUACCGAAGCGAUGAUCGGUAGCUGGUCUGAGAGGACGAUCAGCCACGACGGGACUGAGACACGGCCCCGACUCCUACGGGAGCAGCAGCAAGGAAUUUCCGCAAUGGGCGCAAGCCUGACGGAGCAACGCCGCGUGCGGAUGACG
RNAcentral lists this ribosomal RNA (377 nucleotides) under uncultured soil bacterium. RNAcentral describes it as "bacterial SSU rRNA". It matches the Rfam family "Bacterial small subunit ribosomal RNA", at positions 26 to 413 of the family's 1533-position model. The record is from RNAcentral.